UCUUGCACAAUGGCNGGNAAACCCUGNUGCAGCGACGCCGCGUGAACGAAGAAGCCUUUCGGGGUGUAAAGUUCUUUCGGCAGGGACGAUGAUGACUGUACCUGCAGAAGCAGCUGCGGCUAACUACGUGCCAGCAGCCGCGGUAAUACGUAGGCAGCAAGCGUUGUUCGGAAUUACNUGGGCGUAAAGAGUGCGUAGGUGGUUGGCCAAGUUUGGUGUGAAAUCUCCCGGCUCAACUGGGAGGGUGCGCCGAAAACUGGCUGGCUAGAGUGUGGGAGAGGGAAGCGGAAUUCCUGGUGUAGCGGUGAAAUGCGUAGAUAUCAGGAGGAACGCCUGCGGUGUAGACGGCUUCCUGGACCAUGACUGACACUGAGGCACGAAAGCGUGGGUAGCAAACAGGAUUAGAUACCCUGGUAGUCCACGCCCUAAACGAUGCGGACUUGGUGUGCGCCCUUCAUUGGGUGCGUGCCGAAGCUAACGCGAUAAGUCCGCCGCCUGGGGAGUACGGUCGCAAGGCUGAAACUCAAAGAAAUUGACGGA
Molecule: ribosomal RNA, 540 nt
Filed under: uncultured bacterium
Lineage: Bacteria
Description: bacterial SSU rRNA
Rfam family: Bacterial small subunit ribosomal RNA
Source: RNAcentral